RNAcentral lists this ribosomal RNA (483 nucleotides) under uncultured bacterium. RNAcentral's name for it is "partial 16S ribosomal RNA". It matches the Rfam family "Bacterial small subunit ribosomal RNA", at positions 30 to 507 of the family's 1533-position model. The record is from RNAcentral.
AGUGAACGCUGGCGGCAGGCCUAACACAUGCAAGUCGAGCGGCAGCGGGUCCUUCGGGAUGCCGGCGAGCGGCGGACGGGUGAGGAAUACAUCGGAAUCUGCCCUGUCGUGGGGGAUAACCUAGGGAAACUUAGGCUAAUACCGCAUACGACCUACGGGUGAAAGCGGGGGAUCGCAAGACCUCGCGCGACAGGAUGAGCCGAUGUCCGAUUAGCUAGUUGGCGGGGUAAAGGCCCACCAAGGCGACGAUCGGUAGCUGGUCUGAGAGGAUGAUCAGCCACACUGGGACUGAGACACGGCCCAGACUCCUACGGGAGGCAGCAGUGGGGAAAUUGGACAAUGGGCGCAAGCCUGAUCCAGCCAUGCCGCGUGGGUGAAGAAGGCCUUCGGGUUGUAAAGCCCUUUUGUCCGGGAAGAAAUCGUCUGGGCUAAUACCCCGGGCGGAUGACGGUACCGGAAGAAUAAGCACCGGCUAACUUCGUG